UACGUAGGGCGCAAGCGUUAUCCGGAAUUAUUGGGGGUAAAGAGCUCGUAGGCGGUUUGUCGCGUCUGCCGUGAAAGUCCGGGGCUCAACUCCGGAUCUGCGGUGGGUACGGGCAGACUAGAGUGAUGUAGGGGAGACUGGAAUUCCUGGUGUAGCGGUGAAAUGCGCAGAUAUCAGGAGGAACACCGAUGGCGAAGGCAGGUCUCUGGGCAUUAACUGACGCUGAGGAGCGAAAGCAUGGGGAGCGAACAGG
This 253-nucleotide ribosomal RNA is filed under the name uncultured bacterium. RNAcentral describes it as "partial 16S ribosomal RNA". It matches the Rfam family "Bacterial small subunit ribosomal RNA", at positions 524 to 776 of the family's 1533-position model. The record is from RNAcentral.